Molecule: ribosomal RNA, 799 nt
Filed under: uncultured bacterium
Lineage: Bacteria
Description: bacterial SSU rRNA
Rfam family: Bacterial small subunit ribosomal RNA
Source: RNAcentral
GAGUUUGAUCCUGGCUCAGGAUGAACGCUGGCGGCGUGCUUAACACAUGCAAGUCGAACGGGAAACAUUUUAUUGAAGCUUCGGCAGAUUUAGUUUGUUUCUAGUGGCGGACGGGUGAGUAACGCGUGGGUAACCUGCCUCACACUGGGGGAUAACAGUCAGAAAUGACUGCUAAUACCGCAUAAGCGCACGAAACCGCAUGGUUUUGUGUGAAAAACUCCGGUGGUGUGAGAUGGACCCGCGUUGGAUUAGCCAGUUGGCAGGGUAACGGCCUACCAAAGCGACGAUCCAUAGCCGGCCUGAGAGGGUGAACGGCCACAUUGGGACUGAGACACGGCCCAGACUCCUACGGGAGGCAGCAGUGGGGAAUAUUGCACAAUGGGGGAAACCCUGAUGCAGCGACGCCGCGUGAAGGAAGAAGUAUCUCGGUAUGUAAACUUCUAUCAGCAGGGAAGAAAAUGACGGUACCUGACUAAGAAGCCCCGGCUAACUACGUGCCAGCAGCCGCGGUAAUACGUAGGGGGCAAGCGUUAUCCGGAUUUACUGGGUGUAAAGGGAGCGUAGACGGAAUGGCAAGUCUGAUGUGAAAGGCAGGGGCUCAACCCCUGGACUGCAUUGGAAACUGUCAGUCUUGAGUACCGGAGGGGUAAGCGGAAUUCCUAGUGUAGCGGUGAAAUGCGUAGAGAUUAGGAGGAACACCAGUGGCGAAGGCGGCUUUCUGGACAGUAACUGACGCUGAGGCGCGAAAGCGUGGGGAGCAAACCAGGAUUAGAUACCCUGGUAGUCCACGCCGUAAACG